UACAGAGGUCCCAAGCGUUGUUCGGAUUUAUUGGGCGUAAAGAGCUCGUAGGCGGUUCGGUAAGUCGGGUGUGAAAACUUUGGGCUCAACCCAAAGCCUGCACUCGAUACUGCUGUGACUUGAGUCCGGUAGGGGAGAUCGGAAUUCCUGGUGUAGCGGUGAAAUGCGCAGAUAUCAGGAGGAACACCGGUGGCGAAGGCGGAUCUCUGGGCCGUAACUGACGCUGAGGAGCGAAAGCAUGGGGAGCGAACAGG
This 254-nucleotide ribosomal RNA is filed under the name uncultured bacterium. RNAcentral's name for it is "partial 16S ribosomal RNA". It matches the Rfam family "Bacterial small subunit ribosomal RNA", at positions 524 to 776 of the family's 1533-position model. The record is from RNAcentral.